This 488-nucleotide ribosomal RNA is filed under the name uncultured bacterium. Its description in RNAcentral is "partial 16S ribosomal RNA". It matches the Rfam family "Bacterial small subunit ribosomal RNA", at positions 28 to 507 of the family's 1533-position model. The record is from RNAcentral.
GACGAACGCUGGCGGCGUGCUUAACACAUGCAAGUCGAACGGAAAGGCCCUGCUUUUGUGGGGUGCUCGAGUGGCGAACGGGUGAGUAACACGUGAGUAACCUGCCCUUGACUUUGGGAUAACUUCAGGCAACUGGGGCUAAUACCGGAUAGGAGCUCCUGCUGCAUGGUGGGGGUUGGAAAGUUUCGGCGGUUGGGGAUGGACUCGGGGCUUAUCAGCUUGUUGGUGGGGUGGUGGCUUACCAAGGCGUUGACGGGUAGCCGGCCUGAGAGGGUGAUCGGCAACACUGGAAGUGGGCCACGGUCCAGACGCCUACGGGAGGCAGCAGUGGGGAAUAGUGGACAAUGGGCGAAAGCCUGAUCCAGCCAUGCCGCGUGUGUGAAGAAGGUCUUCGGAUUGUAAAGCACUUUAAGUUGGGAGGAAGGGCAGUAAGUUAAUACCUUGCUGUUUUGACGUUACCAACAGAAUAAGCACCGGCUAACUUCGUG